This 82-nucleotide transfer RNA is filed under the name Trichoderma hamatum GD12. RNAcentral describes it as "tRNA-Ser (GCT) (tRNA-Ser-GCT-2-1)". It matches the Rfam family "tRNA". Rfam says of the family: Transfer RNA (tRNA) molecules are approximately 80 nucleotides in length. Their secondary structure includes four short double-helical elements and three loops (D, anti-codon, and T loops). Lineage: Eukaryota; Fungi; Ascomycota; Sordariomycetes; Hypocreales; Hypocreaceae. The record is from RNAcentral.
GGGGGAGUGGCGCAGUGGUACGCGCCUGGUUAUCUCUUGCUUGCUAUGCAUAAGAUCGUGGGUUCGAAUCCCGCCUCCCUCU